The submitters of this non-coding RNA (81 nucleotides) gave its source as unclassified sequences. The record is from Rfam.
GUGCUGAAAUGCAUGGUGGGAAAUCAGUGUGAAAUUCAUUGGCUGUUCCUGCAACCGUAAAGUCGGAGCGCCACCCAGCAU